AACGAACGCUGGCGGCAUGCCUAACACAUGCAAGUCGAACGAGACCUUCGGGUCUAGUGGCGCACGGGUGCGUAACGCGUGGGAACCUGCCCUUAGGUUCGGAAUAACUCCCCGAAAGGGGUGCUAAUACCGGAUAAUGUCUUCGGACCAAAGAUUUAUCGCCUUUGGAUGGGCCCGCGUUGGAUUAGCUAGUUGGUAGGGUAAAAGCCUACCAAGGCGACGAUCCAUAGCUGGUCUGAGAGGAUGAUCAGCCACACUGGGACUGAGACACGGCCCAGACUCCUGCGGGAGGCAGCAGGGGGGAAAAUGGGACAAGGGGCGAAAGCCUGAUCCAGCAAUGCCGGGGGAGUGGUGAAGGCCUUAGGGUUGUAAACCUCUUUUACCCGGGAUGAUAAGAACAGUACCGGGAAAAAAAGCCCCGGUAAACUCCGU
RNAcentral lists this ribosomal RNA (432 nucleotides) under uncultured bacterium. Its description in RNAcentral is "partial 16S ribosomal RNA". It matches the Rfam family "Bacterial small subunit ribosomal RNA", at positions 29 to 506 of the family's 1533-position model. The record is from RNAcentral.